AUUGAACGCUGGCGGCAGGCUUAACACAUGCAGUCGAGCGGGGGAAGGUAGCUUGCUACUGGACCUAGCGGCGGACGGGUGAGUAAUGCUUAGGAAUCUGCCUAUUAGUGGGGGACAACAUCUCGAAAGGGAUGCUAAUACCGCAUACGUCCUACGGGAGAAAGCAGGGGAUCUUCGGACCUUGCGCUAAUAGAUGAGCCUAAGUCGGAUUAGCUAGUUGGUGGGGUAAAGGCCUACCAAGGCGACGAUCUGUAGCGGGUCUGAGAGGAUGAUCCGCCACACUGGGACUGAGACACGGCCCAGACUCCUACGGGAGGCAGCAGUGGGGAAUAUUGGACAAUGGGGGGAACCCUGAUCCAGCCAUGCCGCGUGUGUGAAGAAGGCCUUAUGGUUGUAAAGCACUUUAAGCGAGGAGGAGGCUCUUUUGGUUAAUACCCAAGAUGAGUGGACGUUACUCGCAGAAUAAGCACCGGCUAACUCUGUGCCAGCAGCCGCCGCAG
This 500-nucleotide ribosomal RNA is filed under the name uncultured bacterium. RNAcentral describes it as "partial 16S ribosomal RNA". It matches the Rfam family "Bacterial small subunit ribosomal RNA", at positions 30 to 523 of the family's 1533-position model. The record is from RNAcentral.